This is a long non-coding RNA of Pan troglodytes (chimpanzee), 1221 nucleotides long. RefSeq lists it as uncharacterized. The record is from RefSeq and is a predicted model, not a curated record. The transcript is spliced from 3 exons. Lineage: Eukaryota; Metazoa; Chordata; Mammalia; Primates; Hominidae.
GAAAUCAUACGUGAUGUGUAGGGAAGUGUAUGGGGCAGUGGAAGGAAUGUGGACCGUUGCCUCCCUUCUCUUGUCUGGAUGACCUUGGAUGAGGCCUCAAUCCUGGUAGUCACCUGGACUCCUCCUGAAUUUCCCGCAUGUCCUGCAGCAGUGACCCCAUCUGACAUGUUGUGUGGCUGGCUGUCCCCCAGUGAAAUCAUAGCCCUGGAGGGCAGGGUGUGUUUCUUCGUUUUCCUGCCUGGUGUGUGGAGACCCCGUGUGACCGUGGCGCAGAUCAGGAGCUCGGUCCGGUCCUGGAUACCCUUGGCAUUGACAUGUGGCUGCAGACAGUGGAAGAGAGAGAGAGUAGAAGACCUGCCUGAGCUCACUCAGCAUGCGUCAACUUCAUUCCCAGUCCAUGGCUGGAGCGUAGCCACAUGGCUGGAGCGUAGCCCUGGAGCAGUCACAGGGCUGCAAAGGCUGCUGGGAAGUGUGUUCCAUACUGUGUGCCCAGAGCAAGGGAAGGGGUUUGGUGGGAGUUUGCCAGUUCCACCACAGCGCUGCUGUGACAGUUGAAAUCAAAUGCAUGAAGGGACUGGUUUUCACACAGGUCAGGUGUCAUGACUGCUACAAGCUGGGUUUUCCUCCAGCUUGUACUCCUGUCCAGACAGAGCAUCUAUUUUUUUUUUCUAUCUACUGAAUCAGAGAACCUACUUUUCUCAGGUCAGAGUCCAAAUUCCCAACUUGUAUCAAAUGAGAUUUUCUUCCCAGUGAUAAAUAGUGGGAUAUCUACAGACAUUUGCAAGGUGUUCGUCGCACCUCGUGAUUUCUCCCUUGGCAGGGACCUGUGGCCACUGUGUCUGGCUCAGGACACUGACAAAACACCAGGCUCAGGAUUUUUUUCCCCACAAUACAACUAGAUCCUGACCAAGGGUUUUUGAUGAAAAUCAGAUUUUGAAGACUGCUGUGGUUUAUAAGAGCUUCCUCAUGAAGAAGACUUUGUAGACCUCACCAUUUACAGAUAUGAGAGAGAAGUUUCCUUCUGAGUGAUCUCAUUCUGCUCUGAUGUCCCUGGGAACACGCAUUGGAGCCAAUAUCUCCCAUCUUUUCAAAUUAAAUUAGCUCCCUGUAGGGAGCCAGAUAAAAGAAUGAUGGAAAGAAAUGGAACAAUAUAGAUUAGCCCAUUUUUGAUGCUUGGGUUAAAUUUUAUUAAAAUGACUGUUCUGCAUGGCCUAAACCAUC